GGACCCGCACAAGCGGUGGAUGAUGUGGUUUAAUUCGAUGCAACGCGAAAAACCUUACCUACCCUUGACAUGCCAGGAACUUGCCAGAGAUGGCUUGGUGCUCGAAAGAGAGCCUGGACACAGGUGCUGCAUGGCCGUCGUCAGCUCGUGUCGUGAGAUGUUGGGUUAAGUCCCGCAACGAGCGCAACCCUUAUCAUUAGUUGCUACGCAAGGGCACUCUAAUGAGACUGCCGGUGACAAACCGGAGGAAGGUGGGGAUGACGUCAGGUCAUCAUGGCCCUUAUGGGUAGGGCUACACACGUCAUACAAUGGCCGGUACAGAGGGCUGCCAACCCGCGAGGGGGAGCUAAUCUCAGAAAACCGGUCGUAGUCCGGAUCGCAGUCUGCAACUCGACUGCGUGAAGUCGGAAUCGCUAGUAAUCGCGGAUCAGCUUGCCGCGGUGAAUACGUUCCCGGGUCUU
Molecule: ribosomal RNA, 461 nt
Filed under: uncultured bacterium
Lineage: Bacteria
Description: bacterial SSU rRNA
Rfam family: Bacterial small subunit ribosomal RNA
Source: RNAcentral